AGUAAUGGCGAGUGAAGCGGUAACAGCUCAAAUUUGAAAGCUCGCUCUUUUAGGGUGCGCAUUGUAAUUUGUAGAAGAUGCUUCGGGUGUGGCCCCGGUCUAAGUUCCUUGGAACAGGACGUCAUAGAGGGUGAGAAUCCCGUAUGUGACUGGGUGCUUUCGCUCAUGUGAAGCUCUUUCGACGAGUCGAGUUGUUUGGGAAUGCAGCUCAAAAUGGGUGGUAAAUUUCAUCUAAAGCUAAAUAUUGGCCAGAGACCGAUAGCGCACAAGUAGAGUGAUCGAAAGAUGAAAAGCACUUUGGAAAGAGAGUUAAACAGUACGUGAAAUUGUUGAAAGGGAAGCGCUUGCAACCAGACUUGCGCGCUGAUGAUCAUCCGGGCUUCUGCCCGGUGCACUCGUCUGCGCUCAGGCCAGCAUCGGUUUCGGUGGUGGGAUAAAGGCCUUGGGAAUGUAGCUCCUCUCGGGGAGUGUUAUAGCCCUCGGUGCAAUGCCGCCUACCGGGACCGAGGACCGCGCUUCGGCUAGGAUGCUGGCGUAAUGGUUGUAAGCGACCCGUCUUGAAACACGGACCAAGGAGUCUAACAUCUAUGCGAGUGUUUGGGUGUUAAACCCAUACGCGUAAUGAAAGUGAACGGAGGUGAGAACCCUUAAGGGUGCAUCAUCGACCGGUCCUGAUGUCUUCGGAUGGAUCUGAGUAAGAGCAUAGCUGUUGGGACCCGAAAGAUGGUGAACUAUGCGUGAAUAGGGUGAAGCCAGAGGAAACUCUGGUGGAGGCUCGCAGCGGUUCUGACGUGCAAAUCGAUCGUCAAAUUUGCGUAUAGGGGCGAAAGACUAAUCGAACCAUUGACCUCGUCGCUACUAGGUGGUUAAGAGGUAUCUAGAGAAAUACUUAGUCCUACCAAGGGCAACACUGUCAAAUUGCGGGGACGUCCUGUUUUAAAUGCUGAACUACCGCAGCUGCCCUGAAAAGGGCGGUGCGCACCAGGUUAAUGACCUCGGGGAUGGUAAGAACGUUCAGAUAGGGAUGAUCCGCAGCCAAGUCCUACGGGGUCGCAAGACCUACGGAUGCAGUUCACAGACUAAACGAUAGUGGGUCAGGAUCGCCUGGCUUAAGAUAUAGUCGAAUCCCCUGAGAGAUCGGGGGCGGAGCUAUUCAACUC
Molecule: ribosomal RNA, 1160 nt
Filed under: Neospermospora avenae
Lineage: Eukaryota; Fungi; Ascomycota; Leotiomycetes; Helotiales; Ploettnerulaceae
Description: partial large subunit ribosomal RNA
Rfam family: Eukaryotic large subunit ribosomal RNA
Source: RNAcentral